AGCAGCCGCGGUAAUUCCAGCUCCAAUAGCGUAUAUUAAAGUUGUUGCAGUUAAGAAGCUCGUAGUUGAAUUUCGGGGCCAGUAGGUUGGUCGUGCCACUGGUAUGCACUGGCCUUAUUGGUCUCUCCCUCUUGAAGAACCGUAAUGCCAUUAAUUUGGUGUUGCGGGGAAACAGGACUGUUACUUUGAAAAAUUAGAGUGCUUAAAGCAGGCUAACGCUUGAAUACAUUAGCAUGGAAUAACGGAAUAGGACGCUUGAUUCUAUUUUGUUGGUUUCUAGGAUCAACGUAAUGAUUAAUAGGGAUAGUUGGGGGCAUUAGUAUUCAAUUGUCAGAGGUGAAAUUCUUGGAUUUAUUGAAGACUAACUACUGCGAAAGCAUUUGCCAAGGAUGUUUUCAUUAAUA
Molecule: ribosomal RNA, 404 nt
Filed under: uncultured Glomeromycotina
Lineage: Eukaryota; Fungi; Glomeromycota
Description: SSU rRNA
Rfam family: Eukaryotic small subunit ribosomal RNA
Source: RNAcentral